GACAGAGGGUGCAAACGUUGUUCGGAAUUACUGGGCGUAAAGCGCGUGUAGGCUGCUUCGCAAGUCGGAUGUGAAAGCCCCGGGCUCAACCUGGGAAUUGCAUUUGAGACUGCGUAGCUAGGGUGCGGAAGAGGGAAGCGGAAUUUCCGGGUGUAGCGGUGAAAUGACGUAGAUAUCGGAAGGAACACCAGUGGCGAAAGCGGCUUCCUGGUCCAGCACCGACGUCAGGCACGAAAGCGUGGGGAGCAAACAGG
RNAcentral lists this ribosomal RNA (254 nucleotides) under uncultured bacterium. Its description in RNAcentral is "partial 16S ribosomal RNA". It matches the Rfam family "Bacterial small subunit ribosomal RNA", at positions 524 to 776 of the family's 1533-position model. The record is from RNAcentral.